AGAGUGAACGCUGGCGGUAGGCCUAACACAUGCAAGUCGAACGGCAGCACAGUAGGAGCUUGCUCUUACGGGUGGCGAGUGGCGGACGGGUGAGGAAUACAUCGGAAUCUACCUUUUGGUGGGGGAUAACGUAGGGAAACUUACGCUAAUACCGCAUACGCCCUUCGGGGGAAGCCGGGGACCAGCAAUGGCCUGGUGCUGAUAGAUGAGCCGAUGUCGGAUUAGCUAGUUGGUGAGGUAAUGGCUCACCAAGGCGACGAUCCGUAGCUGGUCUGAGAGGAUGAUCAGCCACACUGGUACUGGAGACACGGGUCCAAGACCUACCUACGGGGAGGCAGCGAGUGGGGAAUAGUUGGACAAGUGGGCGCGAAGCCGUGAUCCAGGCCACGUACCGGUACGUGGGUAGAAGGUAAGGUCCGUUUCGGGUUAGUAAAACGGUCCC
This 442-nucleotide ribosomal RNA is filed under the name uncultured soil bacterium. RNAcentral describes it as "bacterial SSU rRNA". It matches the Rfam family "Bacterial small subunit ribosomal RNA", at positions 26 to 458 of the family's 1533-position model. The record is from RNAcentral.